Taeniopygia guttata (zebra finch) is the source of this 5051-nucleotide non-coding RNA. NCBI's taxonomy places the organism in Eukaryota, Metazoa, Chordata, Aves, Passeriformes, Estrildidae. The record is from RefSeq and is a predicted model, not a curated record.
AACCUACACACCCAAGACCCCUAGGUCACAUGAUGGAUAUUAGAAGGACACGUGAUUAAAACUUGGAAUUUCUUUUCAGCAGAUGUUUCUUCAAAGAGGGCUGCCUGGUCCUGUUGUUCUUGCGGCAUCAACUGCUUACAGGAACAGACAUAAAUCCAGAAGGGAAAAGAUCUACUGGGGAUGAAGCAGCCUGUGGUGGUGUGCUAAUGAUAAAAAGGUUGGUAAGUGGAAGACCUUUGCUUCUUACCCAUCCUUACUACUGCAGCAUAAACACUUCCCAACUUUACUGUCCUCAUGUUAACAAGACUGUAACUACUAACUGAACAUUUCAUUAUUUCCUUUCACUGACAAGCAAAAUGAGGAUGAAGAUAUAUUUUAUAUUUUAGCAGAAUGACAGCAUGAUACCACUAAACUCCAACCCUGACUUAUAGUGCUAACUUCUUUCCCCUGAGUUUGAGAAAAUGGUGAUCAAGGUGGAAUUUUAGGUCCAGCAUCUGUGGUGUGUAUGGUCCAAAUAUGCAAGCUGAGGACGGCAAAAUAAAACAGGUUUUCUUGUUGGUUAUUUUACUUUAGAGAAUUUCGUCCAGUAAAUGAACAAUUUUAUAUUUCUUGAAAGGUGAGCAAGCUAUCACAUCCAUAUAAAUGUCUUUUGCAUUAAGAUGGCCUGGCGUUUUACUUACCUAUAUAAGCUGAAGACUGUAUUACCGUUAUGCAUCAAGUACACAUACACUUCCUCCACAUCUUCAUGUUUCAUCAUAUUGAAAGUAAAGAAAUACACCCCUGAAAAGGUUAUAAAAUACAACUUGUUUGCUUCAUAGAAAGAAGUAAUCAUGCUGCAGAUUUGUGCUUCUUGCUUAGAAAACAUAACAGCUGUGGACAAAACUGCCUUCCAGUUGUCAGCAGAUACUUUGCUUCUGCUUAUAGUAUUCCAAAAUCUGAUUAAUUCUGCAUAUGGCAGGUGGUGUUUUUGCUGCAUCACAGCUGCAUAAGAGGGGGAUUGAUGCAGCUGAGAAGUAACCCAUGAAGUAUUGUAAUGCCUCAUUUCCAGCCAUACAUCUGUUGCAAGUCAGCUUGCAGCUGAAUUGGCAUGGGGGAGGAUGAGGAUGAAGAGAUUGACAGGAGGCAGGAGGUGGAGGAGGCAACUGUGAAGCUGCUGCUGCUUGCUACAACUUCAAGACUGUGGUUCUGUCAUCACAGUGGCUGAAGGGCUAAAGAGCCACAGCAAAGCAGACAGUCCUGCUCCCUCCCUAGCCCUGGCCAUGCCUCUUCCUCCUGCCUUUGUGUCAGCCCUAGUCUCACUGGCUGGCAAGACUUCUCUUGGCUUGCUCAGUUUUCAAUUAAAUUUUCUGGAAAGUAGGUAGCAACAGCUAUGCAAGUGCACUUGCACUAUGCAAGUGCAAAGGCAGUUAAAUAGUGCCUCAUCCUUUUUGACCACACAUCUCCCUGCAGCUCCAGUAAUUACAUUUUUUUUUUUUUGCAAAUGCUCACCAUUCACUGGAGCACCAAAUCUCCCGGUCAUGACAUCAAAAAAAUUCCCAACAUUGGUUUCAACGCUACUGAAGAUGAUCCCACUGUUCUGGUUGCUGAAGUGAGUAGCCAUUGAAGCCAUAAAUGCGACCUGCAAAAAAUCCAGUUCUCGUUCAGACAGUCAUUGAUGAAAAACACAUGUGUAGAGCAAUAAGGUACAGAUUUUUUUUCUGUAUUUGCAGUCUGUUUAUUUUCCUGACAGAGAUGUUCUUCUAGGGCUUGCUCCAAGGCCAAUAAACUCCAGUUAACAAAACUCCCAUUGAAUGAAACUGGAAGAAGACUAGGGUUCUCAUAUUCAAUUAGACUAUUCAUGACUGUAAAGUGAGCAUAUGGUCAAGUGUUUGCAGCUCAGAACCUUAAUUUCAGAUUUUAUUUACUUUUAUGUCUUGCUAGAAUGAUGCAACAGCAAUAUAGUAUUGAAAUGGAUGAUGUUUCUGACAAAAGGGUUUUAUAUUGUUUUAUGUAUUCCCCAAUGCGUUUAAACUGAAUAUUGCUUUUAACUGCAUGUGUGAAAACAAACAAGGCCCAGUAAAAUGCAUGCAGAUUAGUGUUUCUUCUUAGAGAUAGAUGAAGCACUUCUAUUAGAUGUUCUCUGGAAGUGCAGCAGCUGGGACUCAAUAUACAAUGCUUUUUCUAUUUGUUACCCUGAGUCUUGAAAACAGAGGGUGGUGGAGACCAAGAGUGGAAAAUAAGAAAAUUAAAACUGUCCUUCAACUUCAUGUUUCACUUCUUGCGCUAGAAAUGUUUUAUAGGAAGCAGCGCAAAAAAACCCACACCAGACAAUUUGAAUUGCCCUCAGCAAUAUACCAGGGAAUGACCCUGCCAGCUGGCCUGCUUAGGGAAGGGAGUGACCUUUUCUGUAAGGCUAUCCUCCCCACCACCCCCGCCCCACAUUAUGUGAGUAAAUGAGUGAGCAUUAGAAUUGCUACACUUUGUUGCCAAAAGGUUACACAGAGACUUGGCUUUUUAUUUCUAUCUCAGCUUCUUCAAUGACAAGUGUUCAGUUGCAUCUGUUACUGCCCAUCACAAAAAUGACAUUUUUUUGUCCGAUUCCAGCUAUGCUGGUAUCUACAAAAUAAAAAAAAAAAACAGCCCAAACUCCUUUUGAUUUCAGAUCCAAACCAGAACAAAACCAAAACAGACAAUCAAAUGCAAGUCUGGAUCCAAUAAUGGAAAUCAUUAACCAUCUGUUCAGAAAUUUAAGGAGCUCCAGAUGUGAGCUGAAAGCUUGGGCUGAUUUUCCUUACCCCUGCAUGGAUGCAUUUUCUGUUAUGGCAAAUUGUUAAUAUCUUGCUUCUCAGCCAGGAUCACAUCAAAGUUCAUCUUGUGUUAAAGGAAAGCAGCUUCAAUGGCAGAUUGAUGGAAUUUAUUGCUUUUGGUCUAGAUUCAAUUUCACAGUCUCUUUGACCCUAAGCUACUUUUUGUGGGCUGAACAGAACAACAGAAAAAUAUAUUUUUUCUCCUUAGGUCUCACUGUGCAGUAGCAGGUCAACAUGGAUACACAAAGUUUUUCAAAAUAAUCCUGUACUUAAAACAGUAUUGUAUUCAAAAGUGUUUUCUCCUAUACCACCACUGUCUUUAAAAUUCUUAAGUAUGGUGAGAAGAAAUACUGUAAACAUUUUUAAACACAUCUGAUAAAAGAAGUGAUGGAAUUUUAAGCACUGGAAAUAGGUAUUACAAUAUAAGCUGUCGUUGUUUAUCCUCUUUCAUCACUCAGUUUUAAUUACAGUCCUACCAUUGUCUUUAUGUAAGAAAAAAAACAGUGGUAGUUCAUUUUAAAAUUGUACAACGACAUACACUGAACAUAAUUAAAGGUAUGUUUAUAAGAUAUUUAGCUAUACUCUGAGUAUAUAUUAUAUAUAUUUAUUAUGUGUAUAUGCACAUAUAUCAAUAUGUAUAUAUGUAUCUGUGUGUAUGUGUGUAUAGAUAUAUAUUAUAUAUAUAUACAUACAUAUAUAUUUAUAUAUACAUACACAAACUCUCUGUCAUCUGCCAGAUUUCUGGGAUUUGAAGAAGCUUUAAUGCAAAAGCUGUGAGAUUGUGUCAAUAUAAGAGUUGAGCUCAACAGCUCAGGCUUGAACCCAUAUUUAAAUGCUCAUCUGGCUUUUGAGUUAUUCAUUCAUAGGCAGAGCCUUCAUGGUCCCAAACAUAUUUAAAAUAUCUAAGCUUAUAAAUACACAGGGUUUUUUGAAAUAUCACAGGUAUUUUUUUGAAAUUUCACAGGUAUUUUUUUUAAAUUAGAGACUCUUACUGCACUCAGAAAUUUUGAGCCUGUAUUUUGAGGAGCUGGAUACAUGUGCUUCUGAGAAUCUCAUGAAGCCCGGCUACCCUGAGAAACAUGACUCCUUUACUCUUUCCAUAUGCUGUGGGAACUGCAAUUAUUUAUGUGAUACAACUUGGUAGAAAAAUGAUAGUCCCUGCUAUUCUCCUUUAAUAACCCAGAUACUGGCUUUUUGCCCUCAAAGGAAAGCAUAUAUGUUUCUUCCUGCCUAUUUUUCAGCUAGGUUCUGACUAAAGCUUUUCUUCUCAAGAAAGAUCUAGCAGAGCAUUUUUUUCAGUAAGGACAAGGGCUGUAUAUGCCUGUUACAGUAUUAAUUUUCAAGGGGGUUUUCUUCUUAAGUAUCUUACAGUAAUAAGGUGCUGUUUUCUCAGUGAAGAAAACCAUAAUCAGAGAUUUGCUGCAGCCAAUAUGAGCCAGAGAUGUUGUACCUGUAGUUCUGGGGGAAUCCCAGGGUAACCCUUCUCGCCUUUGGGUCCAUGAUGGCCACGCUCUCCUCUUGGUCCAAUAUCUCCUUUGUCUCCUUUCUCACCUUUAGCUCCCUCCUGGCCAGUUGCUCCAUUAUUUCCAUUGUUUCCAUGAUUUCCUGAAGGGAGACAAAGCUUUCUGGUUUAUUUAAAUAAGUUAUCAUACUUUAACAGGUAAGUGUCACAGGGUCCUCUUCCACCAGCUUGCAACAUGGUGCUCAUCAGUGCCAUAAACCCAGGCUGAGAUGUAAUGGAUAAGAACCUGCAGUGUUGUCAGGUUGAUGGUAGAGGUUUUGAUGAGCAGAUUUCCAGAACAAAGAUUUGGGGUGUUAACUCUCAUGGUGCUGUAUAAACUGGUGGUGUCUCAAGUCAUUGCUUUGUUGGGGAGAUGUGCAGGAAGACCUCACCAGACAGAAGGCUCAAGGAAAGCAAAAGCCACUUUCUAUUGACACAUACUAGGCAGCUUCCAGAAGCAGUUUUGCUUUUCCUUUAGUAUAAACACCAAUUUCCUGGUAAAUUAAGUCAAUCAUGAUGGGGUAAGAUAAUUUUGAAUAAGAUUUUGCUAUCUAUAAAACACAUCCACAUAAAUGAUGAAAGGCUUGUAGUAUUAAAGUAAUUAAAAUCUGUACUAAAAACAGGACAAUGUGUAUUCUCAGGGUGCUGGUUAGGGGUCAUUUUGAUUGCAUAGUCCUAGAUUUAAAGAGAGACAACAUUUUUAUAAUUAAGCUUUUUUGAGAUGGCUUACUAUGAGUAAAUGAAUAAAAAGACUCAUUGCAAAA